Long non-coding RNA from Homo sapiens (human), 1718 nucleotides. The record is from Ensembl. Lineage: Eukaryota; Metazoa; Chordata; Mammalia; Primates; Hominidae.
AGGAAACUCCGGGACCCUGCAAGGGAUGACUCACCCCAGUGAUUCAACCGCGCCACCGAGCGCGGAGCUGCCCUGGAGGACGCAGGCGGGUCUAGUUGCCCGGGUCCCCCAAGGCCCCCGGAUUCACCCAGGCCCGCGACUCCGACGUGCAGCUUAGGUGGGUUGCAGGUCUAUGGCAGGAAAGGGAGGGCGCCUUGGAAGAAUUCUUCCCUUCCAUUUGGUGAUAAAGUGGGAGAGGCGGCAUUUACAACAUUUAAUAGAAAGCACGGGCUCUGGGCUCCCCUCGGGCAGCGGAGGGCAUUUCCCGGAUGCUUUGCCCACCUGGGGCAGAAGCUCGGGACCUGCAGCGAAGUAAACGUGUGGCUGUGAGCAGGGCCCUCUCCCAGCCACGGUGGCUUCUUCUACCCCACGAAGGUCAAGAAUACCUGGCCUGCCCACCUCGCGGGGCCCUUAGCGGGUCGCACAGGAGAAAGGCGGUGGGAAUGCCGGUGUCAGCCACGGUGUGACCGGCUCGGCUCACAGGUCUGAGGGUCAGUUGGCUCAGGCAUCGCCCGGUACGACCAGAGAUAGUGACUGAGGAAGAGCAGCCUCACAUCUGGCAGUUUGCCUCUGGGAGAAUUCCAGCGUGACAUCUGCAGCUCUGUGGUUCCAGAAAGGAUGGUUCCCACAUUGAAGAAGACAUCUGUGGGACUGAGUUCCACCGAAAUGCAGAGGAACCAAAAAUGAAAAUGAAAAAUGUAACCAGAGUUGUGUGCCACUAGUUUUAAGCUUUGGUUUUUCUAAAUUAUUUUCUGGCUUCUCCUUCUGGGCUUUGCUGUAAACUUGCCAAGCAUGAGAACAACUCUUCAUCUAUUGAGUGGCAUUUUAAGCCAUCCUGUCAAAGUAUCUCCUGUCAUUUUUAUUAUUAUUACUCUAUAUUGCCUGCAAGACACGACUGGAGAAUUCUUAGUGUAAGAAUUGUUUGUUUCCUCUCUCCUUCUUUCCCACGUUUUCCCAGGGAAGUCAGUCUUGCAUUUUAAUGCAUACUAUAUACAUAUCUCGUUUAGCUUACUGAACCACUUGUUUUAACAGAAUAAAACUGUGCAAAAUUUUAAUUUUCCUCCUUUGCCUGAACUGAAAUAGCACAUCCAGGUUUAGCCCUUGUAGACUUUCCUUCCUCGAAGCAGAAAGUUGCCCUUGAUGAUUUCCUCUUUGAGCUCUCUGCCAGCUCUGAAACCCACAAAAUUUAUGUUUGCAAAACUAAGCCAUGCAAUCCUCUUUUUAUGCAGGCUCUAGCCUGAGUCAUUUUCCCUAAGAGAUCUUCAGCUCCACCUGGGAUGUGAUUCUUUGCUCUCUGGGAUUGAAGGUAGCUGAAGAGAAAUAGUUACACUUCAGGUUUGUUACAAGACCCAAGAAAUUGUUGCAAUUCCACUUGGAGUCACUGACUUUUCUGAAAUCAUAUAGGGCUUUAAACAAUGUCAAGAUCAGCCAUUUGAUAAGAAAAAUGUUUACCAUUGGAUUGUGAUACACAAUGUGCCUUAAAUAUUGAUAAAUUAGAUGAAUAUUUAUUUUGUAUAUCCAUUAAAAUAGACAGGAAAGAGAAGAUGUUGGGUGUUUGCACAGGCUUUUUAGUCAGUACGGAAUGACAUUCUUCAAGAUUUAAAAAUGCUAAAAUCAUUACUAUUUUCAAGAAGAGGGAGGAAGAAAACGUGGUAAAUAAUAUUUCAUUGCGAAGUGUU